Molecule: long non-coding RNA, 465 nt
Organism: Peromyscus leucopus (white-footed mouse)
Lineage: Eukaryota; Metazoa; Chordata; Mammalia; Rodentia; Cricetidae
Exons: 3
Source: RefSeq, a predicted model, not a curated record
GUGCGCCAAGCGGGAGGCCUGGCCGCGUAGCUCGGUUUCCCCCUUACUUUUGGCAGAUUCUUCGCCUGCUGUAGAUUGAAGAAAAUAGGAAUAAGCAUCUUUCGACCACAAACAGAUGUGCUUGAUAAAGAAAAUGUCAGCAAAAAUACUAAAGCAAUGUGUCACAGCGGCUUUCUGACAGAUAGCAGGAAAAGUUAUGAUGCAUUCCACUGUGCACACCUGCCCCAAAUGGUGGAAGAUACAGGGAACAUCCAUGAGGCUGCAGGCCCUCCCCUUCAGGGUGUCCCCUAACUCUGCAGCUGUGAAGAGACACUUAAACAGCCCCGUGACAGCAGAAGGGAGCCCAGGCUGUUCAUUUUCUGUGGAGCCUACAGCGAAGAUGGCCUCCCGCCACCAUGCAUGAAGCAGAAAGAGCAUUUAUGAGCCCGCUCGCGUGAAGCUUGAGUAGGCAGAUUCAUGAAAUUC